Molecule: long non-coding RNA, 730 nt
Filed under: Mytilus galloprovincialis (Mediterranean mussel)
Lineage: Eukaryota; Metazoa; Mollusca; Bivalvia; Mytilida; Mytilidae
Source: RNAcentral
CUCCAUCACAGUAAAAAGGGAAUUACCGGUAUUUGUCAUGUUUAUCCUUUCUUAAACUUUACAUUACCCUUUAUGGUAAAAAUCUAUAGAACUUAUGUACUAGAAAAUAUAAAAAAGGUGUCAGCCUUCUAACCUCAUUGUUGUUCCAUGAAUAACUUUAUUGAAUAAGUUUUGUCUAUUUGUGCACUUGUAAAAUUAGGGGAUUUUUAUACUCCUAAACCCUGUAGCAGCCUAUAGCCUAUUGAGCCUAAUGUAGAAAUCAGAGAUUAGACGGAGGAGAUUGGCGGAAUAUAACAUCUGACAUUAUUAGGAAUACUAAGACAUCUGUUCAGUGAGAUUUCCUAGCUGUGUAUUUACUGUCUUUUCUAUAAAUUUGUGAAAACAUCAAAUCCUUUUGAUGUUCUAAUAAUGGUCCAUUUUCAUCAAGUGAUAAAGUCAUAAAUGCAUAUAAGCCAAAAUCCUUUAGAAUAUAUGCAUACAUAAAUUAUCACACUGGCGGGGUUCUGCAUUAAGUAUGUUUUCUCAUGAUAAAAUAGUCAAGUCUAAAAUCCAUUUAAAUUUCUUGUGUUAAAGCAAAAUAGGUAAAGAAACAGGUAUCAGUUAUUGAAAGAUAUACAUUCUUUUUAUUUUCAGUACAGGAUCGAAAAUUCCCAGUUUCUACGUCUUUGCGCUGAAGUUAAUCCACCUUUUUGUACAUUUUUUUAAGUUUGUUAUAAUGACUUUGUCACUG